CAAUGAUAUCAGCUGGGCAUGGUGGCUCACCCUGUACUCCUAGCUCUCUGGGAGGCCAUGGUGGGCUGAUCACUUGAAGUCAAGAGUUCCAGACUAACCUGGCCAACACGGUGAAACCCCGUCUCUACUACAUUAUCACAUCUCAUCCUUUUGGCAAAGAUCAAGUGUAGGAAAAAAGAUAAAUUAACCGGGUGUGGUGGCAUACGUCUGUAAUCCCAGCUACACAGGAGUGUGAGGUGGGAGGAUGGCUUGAACCCCAGAGACAGAGGUUGCAGUGAGCCAAGAUCACACCACUGCACUCCAGCCUAGGUGACAGAGCGAGACUGUGCCUCAAAGAAAAGAAAAUAAAUGCAAUCAUAAAUAACCCGGCUGGGCGCGGCGGCUCACGCCAGAAUUUGUUCGUAGUAGUACAGAAAAUAAUGGUGGGACUUAAAAUUGAUGAUAUUUUAGAUUUGAUGGAAACUGUUAUACUCCAAUUAUUUUAUGUGAAGACAUGUUAUAGCCAUUAUAAUUAUAUUUUCAUGGAUUUCUUAAUAAUAUGAAGUAGACUGGGUGCAGUGGCUUACGCCUGUAAUCCCAGCACUUUGGGAGGCCAAGGCAGGUGGAUCACUUGACAUCAAGAGUUGGAGACCAGCCUGGCCAACAUGGUGAAACCCCGUCUCUACUAAAAAAAUACAAAAAUUAGCCAGGCAUGGUGGCACUUGCCUGUAAUCUCAGCUACUUGGAGGCUGAGGCAGGAGAAUCACUUGAACCUGGGAGGCGGAGGUUGCAGUGAGACUAGAUCACGCCACUACACUCGAGCCUCGGUGACAGAACGACUCUGUCUCAAAAUAAAACAAAAAAACAGAACCCUGAGAUUUGCAAAAGAAAAUAUGCAGAUGACCGGGCUCAUGCCUGUAAUCCCAGCACUUUG
Molecule: long non-coding RNA, 913 nt
Filed under: Homo sapiens (human)
Lineage: Eukaryota; Metazoa; Chordata; Mammalia; Primates; Hominidae
Description: HSALNT0098839
Source: RNAcentral